GAUGAACGCUGGCGGCGUGCCUAAUACAUGCAAGUCGAGCGAACAGAUGAGGAGCUUGCUCCUCUGACGUUAGCGGCGGACGGGUGAGUAACACGUGGAUAACCUACCUAUAAGACUGGGAUAACUUCGGGAAACCGGAGCUAAUACCGGAUAAUAUAUUGAACCGCAUGGUUCAAUAGUGAAAGACGGUUUUGCUGUCACUUAUAGAUGGAUCCGCGCCGCAUUAGCUAGUUGGUAAGGUGACGGCUUACCAAGGCAACGAUGCGUAGCCGACCUGAGAGGGUGAUCGGCCACACUGGAACUGAGACACGGUCCAGACUCCUACGGGAGGCAGCAGUAGGGAAUCUUCCGCAAUGGGCGAAAGCCUGACGGAGCAACGCCGCGUGAGUGAUGAAGGUCUUCGGAUCGUAAAACUCUGUUAUUGGGGAAGAACAAAUGUGUAAGUAACUAUGCACGUCUUGACGGUACCUAAUCAGAAAGCCACGGCUAACUACGUG
RNAcentral lists this ribosomal RNA (497 nucleotides) under uncultured bacterium. Its description in RNAcentral is "partial 16S ribosomal RNA". It matches the Rfam family "Bacterial small subunit ribosomal RNA", at positions 28 to 507 of the family's 1533-position model. The record is from RNAcentral.